This 493-nucleotide ribosomal RNA is filed under the name uncultured bacterium. RNAcentral describes it as "partial 16S ribosomal RNA". It matches the Rfam family "Bacterial small subunit ribosomal RNA", at positions 30 to 507 of the family's 1533-position model. The record is from RNAcentral.
AUUGAACGCUGGCGGCAUGCUUUACACAUGCAAGUCGAACGGCAGCGGGGAGGAGCUUGCUUCUCUGCCGGCGAGUGGCGAACGGGUGAGUAAUACAUCGGAACGUGUCGAGAAGAGGGGGAUAACCACCCGAAAGGGUGGCUAAUACCGCAUAAAUUCUGAGGAAGAAAGCUGGGGACCUAGGAAUAGGCCUAGCGCUUUUUGAGCGGCCGAUGUCGGAUUAGCUAGUUGGUGAGGUAAAGGCUCACCAAGGCGAAGAUCUGUAGCGGGUCUGAGAGGAUGAUCCGCCAACCUGGAACUGAGACACGGCCCAGACUCCUACGGGAGGCAGCAGUGGGGAAUUUGGACAAUGGGGGCAACCCUGAUCCAGCCAUGCCGCGUGUAUGAAGAAGGCCUUAGGGUUGUAAAGUACUUUUGUUAGGGAAGAAAAGUCAGCUGUGAAUAAUGGCUGAUACUGACGGUACCUAAAGAAUAAGCACCGGCUAACUACGUG